This 1297-nucleotide unclassified non-coding RNA is filed under the name Hevea brasiliensis (rubber tree). The record is from RNAcentral. Lineage: Eukaryota; Viridiplantae; Streptophyta; Magnoliopsida; Malpighiales; Euphorbiaceae.
AACACUUUGUGGCCAAGGCUUUGGAGCAAAAACAUAUAACAUGCUGGGACUAUAUCUGCAAGCCUCCUGCAUCAUAUCCUUCUUCUUCUCUAUUAUCAUAUCUUUAUUAUGGCUACAUACAGAGAAAAUUUUGGUCAUACUAAAUCAAGAUCCUCAAAUUUCUACCACUGCUGCCCUUUAUAUGAAGUAUCUCAUUCCUGGGUUAUUUGCCUAUGGCUUUCUGCAAAACAUCCUAAGGUUUCUUCAAACGCAAUCUGUGGUCAUGCCUCUUGUCCUAUGCUCAGCUAUACCGAUGUGUAUUCAUAUUGGCAUUAGUUAUGCUUUGGUUCAUUGUGCAAAUAUUGGUUUCAAGGGAGCUCCAUUGGCAGCUUCGAUUUCACUGUGGAUAUCAGUCUUUGUUUUGGCAAUUUAUGUGAUUUACGCCAAGAAAUUUGAGCACACAUGGGGUGGAUUUUCAUUCGAAUCGUUCCGUUACAUUCAUAUUCCUUUAAAACUGGCCCUGCCUUCUGCUGCAAUGGUAUGCUUGGAGGAUUGGGCCUCCGAGAUUCUGGUGCUUUUAGCCGGAUUGAUGCCUGACUCAGAAAUAACUACUUCAUUGCUCGCAAUGUGUGUGAAUAUAGAAUCCAUAGCCUCCAUGUUUGCGUAUGGUCUCAGUGCUGCUGCAAGCACAAGAAUUUCUAAUGAACUGGGAGCAGGCAACCCAGAUCGAGCGAAGAAUGCAAUUGCUGUGACUCUCAAACUCUCUGUCAUUCUUGCUUUCGUAGUUGUGUUGGCUCUAGCCUUCGGUGGCAAAAUCUGGACUAACUUGUUCAGUGACAGCCCUAUAAUAACAAAAGAAUUUGCAUCGAUGCUGCUCUUGCUUGCUAUUUCAAUUAUAAUUGAUUCGGUCCAAGGUGUCUUAUCAGGUUAAUAUGAGUUCUCCGGCGCUUCUACAUAUUGGUGUGGCAAGAGGAUGUGGUUGGCAGCACUUGGCUGUGUGGGCUAACUUGGCAACAUUUUAUUUCAUUGGCAUGCCAUUAGCUUGUCUUCUUGGAUUCAAGUUGCAGCUGUAUGCUAAGGGUCUGUGGAUUGGCUUAGUCUGCGGCCUUUCUUGCCAAGCUUGUACAUUCUUGUUGAUCACACUUCGGACAAAAUUGACUAAAACAGAACUUCUUAUGGGCACAGAUGAAGAAAUCCUUGUUGUUGUCUAACACUUCACAGAAUAUCUAUUAAACAUGGAUCCCAGAAAAAGUUAGAGACAUCUUUGGCAUUGGAAAAAUUAGUUUAGUUCAAAUUCAAAUAAAAUUAAGAAUUAGAG